AUUUAGAGGGACAUUAGGGGGAGAGGAACGAAACAGAUAGAGAAAACAAAACAGAGGAAAGGGGGAGACGGACAGAGAGUCCAAAAAACAGAGAAAAAAACCAGUCACCUUCCUCCAUUGCUCUCGUUAUUCUCCCACCAUUAAAGCACCACCACUAUUCAACCAUGUUUGAACCAUAACUUAACAAAAGCUCCUCCCGUGAAAUUUUCUUUACUUCAACACCACCCUUUCUGUCUUUAAAGCUCCACCAUCAUCGUCCUUUAUCAUCUUCUUUGCCAAAAGCUCUCAAUAAAUUACAAAUCGAAAAUGGAUUAAACAUUAAGGAUAAGUUUCGGGCUAGAUCUAAACUCCGAUCGAAGUUGCCGUCAGGGGGUGGGUAUUGUUCGAGUGUUAUGGUCUGAUGUUCCAAUCCAGAUUUGAAACACAACCGAUGUGCUAUUGUUGGAUUGAACAAAUUUGCUGCUUGCAAGGAGAUCUUUCAUCAAUUCAAUUUUAAUUACUGUUUGGAUUCCACUUGAGGGCCGCUGCAUCUUCAAUGGAUGCAGGUGAUUCGUCAGCAGGUGGUUUUGACCCUCGUUAGCAGUUACUCUCUAUUCAGCAGAUUUUGGUGAGCCCUACUCUGUUCCGGGCUUCAUGUCAUUUGACGUUGUACGUUACAUUUUGAGGAAGUGAGGCAGGUACAUCUGGUGUCCGUUUAGGCAUUCCCCCACAUUACCUGGAGACCUAGUGGUGAGUUGCUUCCCUAUGCUCCGUUCAGCAGCACCCACAGUCUCCUUCCUGUUGCUUUUUAUAUUUCUUUCUAUUUCAUUUAAGACAGUAGUUGUAGUGAUUUGUAUAUUCUUCUAGAUUGCCCAUGCACUUAUAACACCAGGUUUUGGAAAUUUCUAGUAGAUAUUUAUGGGUUUUGCCUAUUAGUA
This is a long non-coding RNA of Nicotiana tabacum (common tobacco), 917 nucleotides long. RefSeq lists it as uncharacterized. NCBI's taxonomy places the organism in Eukaryota, Viridiplantae, Streptophyta, Magnoliopsida, Solanales, Solanaceae. The record is from RefSeq and is a predicted model, not a curated record.